AGCGAACGCUGGCGGCAGGCCUAACACAUGCAAGUCGAACGGAUCCUUCGGGAUUAGUGGCGGACGGGUGAGUAACACGUGGGAACGUGCCCUUUGGUUCGGAACAACUCAGGGAAACUUGAGCUAAUACCGGAUGUGCCCUCCGGGGGAAAGAUUUAUCGCCAUUGGAGCGGCCCGCGUCUGAUUAGCUAGUUGGUGAGGUAACGGCCCACCAAGGCGACGAUCAGUAGCUGGUCUGAGAGGAUGAUCAGCCACACUGGGACUGAGACACGGCCCAGACUCCUACGGGAGGCAGCAGUGGGGAAUCUUGCGCAAUGGGCGAAAGCCUGACGCAGCCAUGCCGCGUGAAUGAUGAAGGUCUUAGGAUUGUAAAAUUCUUUCAGCGGGGACGAUAAUGACGGUACCCGCAGAAGAAGCUCCGGCUAACUUCGUG
This 433-nucleotide ribosomal RNA is filed under the name uncultured bacterium. RNAcentral describes it as "partial 16S ribosomal RNA". It matches the Rfam family "Bacterial small subunit ribosomal RNA", at positions 29 to 507 of the family's 1533-position model. The record is from RNAcentral.